GAAUUCAACUCCUACGGGAGGCAGCAGUGGGGAAUAUUGCACAAUGGGCGGAAGCCUGAUGCAGCGACGCCGCGUGGGGGAUGACGGCCUUCCGGUUGUAAACUCCUUUCACCAUCGACGAAGGGUUUCUGACGGUAGAUGGAGAAGAAGCACCGGCUAACUACGUGCCAGCAGCCGCGGUAAUACGUAGGGUGCGAGCGUUGUCCGGAAUUACUGGGCGUAAAGAGCUCGUAGGUGGUUUGUCGCGUCGUCUGUGAAAUUCCGGGGCUUAACCCUGGACGUGCAGGCGAUACGGGCUGACUUGAGUACUACAGGGGAGACUGGAAUUUCUGGUGUAGCGGUGGAAUGCACAGAUAUCAGGAAGAACACCGAUGGCGAAGGCAGGUCUCUGGGUAGUAACUGACGCUGAGGAGCGAAAGCAUGGGUAGCGAACAGGAUUAGAUACCCCGGUAGUCCAGGCGUU
RNAcentral lists this ribosomal RNA (463 nucleotides) under uncultured bacterium. RNAcentral describes it as "bacterial SSU rRNA". It matches the Rfam family "Bacterial small subunit ribosomal RNA", at positions 328 to 803 of the family's 1533-position model. The record is from RNAcentral.